CGUGUGCUCUUCCGAUCUGAUGACUGGUGAAGCUGCAGUUGUGUGUAUGUUUAGUGGUAGUGAUGUCAAUUACAGGGAGAGCUGAGAGGAACAAGGUAGUGGUGAUGUUGUUGAGAUGCCAAUGGAUAUGUUGGUGAUGAUAAAAGAAGAUGGAAAUGGAACUGGUGGAAUCAGAAGGCAGGAUUGAUGCAAUG
Molecule: long non-coding RNA, 194 nt
Organism: Papaver somniferum (opium poppy)
Lineage: Eukaryota; Viridiplantae; Streptophyta; Magnoliopsida; Ranunculales; Papaveraceae
Exons: 4
Source: RefSeq, a predicted model, not a curated record